Non-coding RNA from Triticum urartu, 1371 nucleotides. NCBI's taxonomy places the organism in Eukaryota, Viridiplantae, Streptophyta, Magnoliopsida, Poales, Poaceae. The record is from RefSeq and is a predicted model, not a curated record.
AUGUUUGGACUAUUUUUUUAUUCAUGAAUUCUAGAUUUUGUUCAAUUUUCUGUCUCAACUCUGGAAGUUUGCAGCAGCACUUAUUUUAUGGACCCAGGUUCAAAUUUGGGUUCAAUAUUGUCAACAGAAGUUGUUUAUCUUGACCUGUGCAUUUUGUCAUUCUUUAACAAAAUGUGAGCAGAAGUAAUUCAGAAGCAAAAGACACUGUAUGAUCAAUAACAGUGAUGACCAUCAACCUUCUGCAGAAUUUGUGAUUCGUAGAAGCAUGGCAAUAUUUAGACUCCGUAGAAGUGAAAGACUUUGUAUGAUCAUUAACAACAGUGGCCAUCAAUUGACAUGAACAGGCAGUACUCCAGCAAACUGUUGCAUAAUUUUAGAAAUUCAGAAACUUUAAAAAUUCAGCACACACUUGCAUAAUUCAGAAACUUUUUGACGCAGUACUUUUAGAAAUUCAGAAACAUGGAGCAAGCAAGAAGCAAAAUUUGAUAAACUUAUGUUUACCUUUCUAUUUCAGAGCGGUUUAGACAUGGUAUUGGCUGAUGAUAAAUUCGCUACAAUUGUUGCAGUAAGAUUCACCCUGUGUCGCAGUGGCUUAUAAUUGAUGAAGCUGAUCGCAAACUUGUGCCAAAUUUUGAGGAGGACAUGAAACAAAUAUUUAAGUGCCUCCCUCGGGCUCUCUGCUCGAAAUGUCUGCUGAGCAUCUUCUUCAUUGAGCCAAAAUCAAUUGCUUGGUGCAGUUUCAGAUUGUUCUUACUAUCCAAUACUAAUUUAUAAAUGGCUACAAUCUCAAGAAGGUUCCGCCGAUUCUAGAAGCACACGGCUGAAUGGAAUCCAACGGAACCAAUGCUACAUCAGGGUGCACUGUUCAAGCAUUUUGAUUGGCCCGGGAGAAAUAAGGACACUGCAUCAGACAACCUUUUGCUUACUAACCUCUUAAAUAUUUGAAGUGAGUUCCAGUUCUUGAUUUUUCAAGAAACUGAAGAGGAGCGUUUGAGGAAAGAGGAGAAGCGGGAGGCACGGGAAGCAAAGAAUUGGAGAAGGGAGAGGGAAAAGGAGAAGUUUCUCAAGAAGAGUACUAGAAACGCCUUACCAGUAGGCUUUCGUUGCAAUGUUUUCAUGGAUUAUUGGAUGAGUCUUCCUCUUGAUUGUUUUUUCAGGUUCAGUAACAUGAUGACAUCCGAUUAAUAUCUUGCUGUUCAGGAGGUUUUGACUAUAUGAAAAAUAUUGUUUUCUUGCCAGUGAAGAUUAGCAUGUUUGUACGGCUACCCUAGAGUAAAUUGCCGUAUUCAGAUCAAUUGUUGGAUUAUGUCAUGAACUGCUAAAAGAUAGUGAUGAUCCCUUGAGUCUAUUAUAAGUACCAUUUUAGUUUGA